UACGUAGGCAGCGAGCGUUGUUCGGAGUUACUGGGCGUAAAGGGUGUGUAGGCGGUUGUUUAAGUUUGGUGUGAAAUCUCCCGGCUCAACUGGGAGGGUGCGCCGAAUACUGAAUGACUUGGAGUGCGGGAGAGGAAAGUGGAAUUCCUGGUGUAGCGGUGAAAUGCGUAGAUAUCAGGAGGAACACCGGUGGUGUAGACGGCUUUCUGGACCGUAACUGACGCUGAGGCGCGAAAGCGUGGGGAGCAAACAGG
This 254-nucleotide ribosomal RNA is filed under the name uncultured bacterium. Its description in RNAcentral is "partial 16S ribosomal RNA". It matches the Rfam family "Bacterial small subunit ribosomal RNA", at positions 524 to 776 of the family's 1533-position model. The record is from RNAcentral.